GAUGAACGCUGGCGGCGUGCUUAACACAUGCAAGUCGAACGAAGCACCUUGAUUCGAUUCUUCGGAUGAAGAUCUUGGUGACUGAGUGGCGGACGGGUGAGUAACGCGUGGGUAACCUGCCUCAUACAGGGGGAUAACAGUUAGAAAUGACUGCUAAUACCGCAUAAGACCACAGCACCGCAUGGUGCAGGGGUAAAAACUCCGGUGGUAUGAGAUGGACCCGCGUCUGAUUAGGUAGUUGGUGGGGUAACGGCCUACCAAGCCGACGAUCAGUAGCCGACCUGAGGGGGUGACCGGCCACAUUGGGACUGAGACACGGCCCAAACUCCUACGGGAGGCAGCAGUGGGGAAUAUUGCACAAUGGGGGAAACCCUGAUGCAGCGACGCCGCGUGAGCGAUGAAGUAUUUCGGUAUGUAAAGCUCUAUCAGCAGGGAAGAAAAUGACGGUACCUGACUAAGAAGCACCGGCUAAAUACGUG
This 479-nucleotide ribosomal RNA is filed under the name uncultured bacterium. Its description in RNAcentral is "partial 16S ribosomal RNA". It matches the Rfam family "Bacterial small subunit ribosomal RNA", at positions 28 to 507 of the family's 1533-position model. The record is from RNAcentral.